AUACUUACUUGGCAGAAGAGACACCAUGAUCACGAAGGCGGUUUUCCCAGGGUGAGAGGCUCAUCCGUUGUGCUCUGGAUGUGCUGACCUCUGCGAUUUCCCCAAAUGUGGGAAACUCUACUGCAUACUUUGAGGUAGUGGGGGGACUGUGUUCACCCUCUCCCCUG
This is a small nuclear RNA of Fukomys damarensis (Damara mole-rat), 167 nucleotides long. Its record names the gene U1. It matches the Rfam family "U1 spliceosomal RNA". From Rfam's summary of the family: U1 is a small nuclear RNA (snRNA) component of the spliceosome (involved in pre-mRNA splicing). Its 5' end forms complementary base pairs with the 5' splice junction, thus defining the 5' donor site of an intron. Lineage: Eukaryota; Metazoa; Chordata; Mammalia; Rodentia; Bathyergidae. The record is from Ensembl.